RNAcentral lists this long non-coding RNA (6324 nucleotides) under Populus tremula. RNAcentral's name for it is "long non-coding RNA (PTRE_LNC001415)". The record is from RNAcentral. Lineage: Eukaryota; Viridiplantae; Streptophyta; Magnoliopsida; Malpighiales; Salicaceae.
AAAGAAUUUGUACUUCACCAUGAACUACAUGUAUUACUGCCUUGCUUUCUUCCUCUCUAGCUUUCUUGUGUUCAAACUUGUAUUCCAACGUUCCCGCAACUUACCACCAAGUCCUUUCGGUUUUCCGAUCAUAGGUCAUCUCCACCUUGUCUCGAAGCCACCAAUGCAUAAAGUGCUAGCAAUUCUUUCAAAUAAAUGCGGUCCAGUGUUUACUCUUAAAUUAGGCAGCAGGAACAUUGUUGCUGUUUGUUCUUUAUCAGCUGCAGAAGAAUGUUACAUCAAGAAUGAUAUAGUUUUUGCCAACAGGCCUCAGAGUAUAUUUGUCCAUUAUUGGAGCUACAACUACGCUGCCUUUUUAUUUGCUCCGUAUGGCCAUCUCUGGCGGACUCUGAGGCGUUUCUCGGUCACUGAACUGUUUUCUCGAAGCUGCCUCGAUCGGUCUACUGCCACUACCGAAGAAGUCCGCACCCUUCUCCGCCUGAUUCUGUCCAAAGUCUCUGAUGAUGGAGCCAAGAAGGUGGACUUGAACUAUUUCUUCACAAUCACCUCUCUCAAUGUAAUUAUGAAGAUGAAUGCUGGAAAGAAGUGGGUGGAAGAGGAGAAAGCUGCCUGUAUCGAGUCAGGAAAGCAGUGUAUUGAGGAUGUCCAGAAGAUAUUCCCUUCAAAUCCAGGGACCAGCUUGUUGGAUUUUUUUCCAUUUUUGAAAUGGUUUGGGUACAAGGGGGAGGAGGAGAGUGUGAUAAGGGUGUAUAAAGAGAGGGAUGAAUUCUUGCAGGGCGUGAUAGAAGAGGUGAAACGAAAGGAAACAAGUUCAGAUACAAGUAAUCCUGCUGAGGGAGUGAAGCAUCAGACAACUGUGAUUGGAAGUCUAUUGGCCCUCCAAAAAUCAGACCCUGAAUUGUAUACGGAUGAUGUUGUCAAGGGUACCAUGGCGGUAAGAAACUUAAAAUACCGAACUUACGGGCCCUUCGAAGUCUUACAUGUUUUCUAAAGCUCUCUUGAAUUUAUAAGAAUUUUAAAGGUGUUCUUGUGAAAUAGCCCCUCAAAAACAAAAAUUGUACCGUUUGGUCACCCCACUUUCCAAAGUCUGAAUUUAUCCCUAGUUAAAAUUAACCAAAAUUAAUAACUGUAAUUUUCUUAGACUGAGCAUGAAUUUUUCAUCUUCCGCAGACGCUCUACAUGGCAGGAGUAGAUACAGUAGAUUUCACCACAGAAUGGGCAAUGACAUUUCUGCUGAACCAUCCAGAGAGACUAGAGAGGGUGAGAGCAGAGAUUGACAUGGAAGUCGGGCACGAGCGCUUGGUACAAGAGUCUGAUCUUCCCAAGCUAAGAUAUGUUCGUUGUGUCGUUAACGAGACCCUUCGUCUGUAUCCUCCAGCCCCGCUUCUGCUGCCUCACGCGCCAUCUGAAGACUGCGUCAUAGGUGGAUACAAGAUACCACGAGGCACGAUUGUGAUGGUGAAUGCAUGGGCCAUACAUAGGGAUCCCAAGCUGUGGGAAGAUCCUGAGAGCUUCAAACCGGAGAGAUUCGAAGGUCUUAAUAAUGAAGGGGACAAACAAGGAUUCAUCCCUUUCGGUAUUGGGAGAAGGGCUUGCCCUGGAAAUCACAUGGCCAUGCGCAGAGUGAUGUUGGCAUUGGCUGCGCUUAUUCAGUGCUUUGAAUGGGAAAGAGUCGGGCAGGAACUGGUAGAUAUGAGCAUCGUAGAUGCUCUUAUCUCUGUACAGAAGGCUAAGCCUUUGGAGGCUAUUUGUGUUCCUCGUCCUUUCACAACCACUCUCAUCUCUCCACCCUAAUCCCAAUUAUGGAAUAAGACUGUGACUUUCUACGGAACCGUUUCUAUUUGGAAUAAAGUUCCAUGUUUACUUUGCUUUGUAAUGCAAUCCAGAGCUAUCUCUGUUUGGAAAUAAAGUUAUUCUAAGUUUACUUUGCUUUGUAAAUCAAUCCGCCAUUGAUGAGGUAUAAUUCAAGUUUAUUUUUUGUGGUAUAAAUAGGUGGCUAAAAGCUCAAAAACAAAGAAACUAUAGAUAAUCUUGAGCAAACGAUGUUUUCACCGCAAUGCCACAAACACGUCAUUCAGGGUCAUCGAUGGUUAUGGUUUUAAUAAAGAUGAAGUUAUCAAGGAGCAAACUAUAAUACUCAUUAAUUCGAGACCAAAAGAUGCAUAACAAUAUCAUUGAGAUUUCAUAUAAUGUUUUUUUCUGACAGACAUGGAGUUCAUUUUUUGUUUUUCUCACUACAUUCUGUAUCAAUAUAACCUGUAAAAGGGAAUGAGAAAAAACAAAUUUAAUCAGAAGAUGAAGAUAAUUUCAAUUCCUAAAGGUGGGGCAGAUCUAGAGAAAUGGAGAUGAUGGAGGAACAACUUUAAAUCCUAGAUAUUGCUUAUCAAGGAAAAGACAUACACCAAUAAUUACUUUGUGACUGCUGGGUUGGAGUGGUUGAUAGAAAUGGAACGGUGCUCGUUUGGGUCAUUUGUUAUUACUAGUCGUUGUUGAAAGCAUAUUAUAAAAUGAAAUAAAAGCUAUAAUUGUUUUUUUUUUAAAUAGUAUCGAUAACAUGCCAUCUACUGUUCUAGAUUCCAAUGACAAAAGAGUUGCCGGAAAAUCACGUGAGACCUUAAUAACAUGUAUUUUGUACACAAAGACAUAAUGAAGACCUUAAUAAACUCAUUUGUCCAUGAACUUCUCAAAAAAAAAAUCCAAAUCAAACCCAAAUUCCAAAAACUUUCAUAUCCUAGAUCUACUCCCUCAAGUAAGGUAAAGGUUAAAAAAAUAUUUAGAUAGAACUCCUCUCGUCGAAUAAAAUUCAUUGACAUCAAGAUCAAGUAUUUUUUUAACCAAAAUCAGUGUUAACAACAGAUUUUCCUCUCUUCAAUCUCUUUCAUCUCUCAAACCAAAUGAGCUGAAAAGAGAAGAAGAUGAAGUUUUGGAUUAAGAGUGAUUUUUUUUUAAAUCAAAGGGACUAUAAAUGUAUCAAUUGGAAAAUAGAAGGAGCAAAGUUAACUUUUCACAUCUUAGUUUCUCUGCUUUUUGUUUUUCACUUGGAAAGUUAUUAAAUUCUGCCACCCAGUUUGUCAAGCAACCACUAGCAUGUAUCUUCCAUAUCCCGAUUGAUCAUGUCUGCAGCAAAUCUUCACGGACCAUUUUUCAAUCGAACGAAGUGAUUUAACAUUAAACACUUUUUUAAUGCUAGUUCUUAAUAAAUUAGAUCUAAUCGGCCAUCAGUUUAAUAAUUAAAAUAGCGACAAGUCAACAAAAUCUUAUAAAUGCUUGUGCAUCAUCUCAGCAGACUAUAUUGUACACAUCUUUAUCAAUUAACAAAUCAUAAAAAUUAUUCACCUAACAUUAGUUGCUGUUUUAUAACAAUAUUUUAUUUCUAUUUUUUGAACUUGGUUUCUUAUAAUUUAAAUCAAUAUCGUCGAUUUCGUUCGAUUUCGUCUGGAAUGGCCGAAACAUUUCAUACUAAUUUAAAAAAAAAUAAUUUUCAUCUCAUUUCAAAUCUCGGUGAUCUGUUCCGGAUUUUUCGAUUAAAUUUCAGCCCGAAUGUUUAGCUUUCAUUUCACAUGUUCUGUCCAGUCUUAAAAAGUCAUCGAAUCAAAUCAAACCUGGUUCAAUUUAAUUAAUUAAACCACUAAAGUAUAAAAAGUUUUUUUUCAUUACUAUUUUCAAUAACAAUAAAAUUAAUAAUAAUAUUAAAAAUUAUUAUUACUAUUUUCAUUAACAAUGAUAUUAAUUUUUUAAAAUUAGAUUUAUCACUAAUAUAUAUGGUUUAUGUUCAUGUUGUUUUUUUCAUGUUUAUACUUUAUAGGAAUUUGAGCAAAACAAGGGAUGAUUUAGAUUUCAUAAGCCUUGAUAAUAUUGACCUAGCUUUAUAUUUAAAAUAUUUAUGUUAAAACAUUUUACUUUUAUAAUAUUUUGAUAUUUUGUUUAAGUUUAAUUACUUUAAGUUCUUGACUAUUUAGAAAUAUUUUAAAAUUUGAAAUUAUAUUUGUUUGACAUUGUGUUUGUAUUGCAUAAUUUAUAAUUAAUUUAUCUUGAAUUGGAAUUAUGUUUGUUGAAUUAUAUAUAAUUUAUAUAUGAACAGUACAAUUCCAAAAUGACACGCGAAACUAAAACAUUUUAUUUCAAUUAAAAAAAUAAAAUAUUUUUUAAAACAGAACUGACAACCUGAUUUAAAUUGUUGGAUGGUAUCCAACAUUAUGCAUAUAAUUAUCACUAAAUGAUAUGAUACUAAUUAGUCCUUCAUUGUUAAGCUCGUGUAAUUAUCACUGUUAAACUAGGUUUAUUAAUUUUAUAAUUAUCAAGAUUUAUUUUUCAAAUAAAUAAGGUAUUUUUUCCCCUCACUUUGGCUUCAAGUACUUUGAACUCUAGUGGCUAAAAAGGAAUACACCAUCCUAACAAUUAGAUUAAUUUUUUCUUCUAAUUAAUUUAUUGUGAUCAAGGGUGAUAUUUUCGAUUCAGUUCGGUUUUUAUUUAAAAAAAAUAAUCAAAUUGAAAUUUUUAAAAAAAAUCAAAACCAGUUCAAACCGACCAGUUUCAUUCAGUUCGAUUUUGUUUUUUAUGACAAAAAUCGGUUUGACUCGGUUUUUUCAAUUUGUCUCAGUUUUUUUCUGGUUUGGGUUCAGUUCGGUUCAUUUUUUUUUUGUUUCAGGCUUAUAAAACCGAAACCGAACCAAAUUGGUCAGUUUUUUCAAAAUUUUAAUCGGUUUAAUCAGUUUUUUUUCACGGUUUAGUUUUUUUUUUCAAGUUUUCUUGGUUUAAUCAGUUUUUUGAUUUUUUUCUCACCCCUAAAUGUGAUUACUUAUUUAACUACAUGUUGCUUUGAUGUUUGGAAUCCUUAUUUUCUACAUAACUUUUUCACUCUAAGUUUCUUACAAUUUAAUAAUUUUGUAUACCUUAUCAAGUGUGAUUGUCAUUACAGUUUCGGCAUUAAUUUUCAUUAAUUAAUCUUUUAAGAAUUAUUGCAUUAAAUCAUGGCCUAUUAAUUAACGAAUUAUUACACAUUUGUUCUUUUUUCAAUGAUAAAACAAUAUAUCCGAUCAAUUUUUUUUUCUUUUUAAUUUUUUGCACGUGAAAUAACCUUCCAAUCAUCCUCGCCAUUAAAUCCUUAAUUUAUUAAAUUCAAAUCUUCAAUUUGUCCAGUUUAUGUUAUUCAAUUCUGGUCUUAGGCUUCUUCUGGUAAUUGUCACCUUUCGUAUUCAAUGCAUUCUCACGUGCACUCAUGUUCUUUCUAGCAUCGCUCUUGAGACCACCUCCAGUCUUCGACUUGGGAUCUGCUAGUUGUGACUUCCUACGUUGUCAUUAUCCAAGGUAAUAACACAGACAGUCCAAAUUUUUUUGUUUUUUUUUUUAUUUUUUUAAAUUAUUUUAAUAUACUAAUAAGUAAAUCUUCGUAGGUAAAGUGCCGGACUGAGAGUCUAUUUAUGACUGAAUUUUUCAUCGGCUAUGUCAGCUCGAACUGCAGAUAGCAUUCGCUUUUGGUCUAACAGCAGCAUAUUAGCAAUUGUGUGAUUUCAGGCAGUCAUUUCUUGUAGGUUUUGGCUUUUGGAUGGAUGACUUUAGCAUCGACUCCAUGGAUCACUGAUCGAGAGUUUGAUUUUGGUGAAGUCUUUGAAUGAUCUCAUCGAAGACCGGGAGAAUCCAACAGAGUGACGGACCUUGCUUUUUCUUUUUUUUAAUGUAAUUCUCAAUUACUAUUAAAAAAAAAAAUACCAAACACGCUAGGAAAAAAAAUCUCUUCCCUUGUCUCGUAUCUAUCUAUUCAAACCUUGUUCUCCAUCCACAGCAACCCACCAUGCUUACAAAUAAUUUGUGCUUCACCUGGACUACAUGUACUACUGUCUUGCUUUCUUCCUCUCCAGCUUUCUUCUAUUCAAACCUGUAUUCCAACGUACCCUCAACUUACCACCAAGUCCUUUCGGUUUUCCGAUCAUAUAUAGGCCAUCUCCACCUUGUCUCGAAGCCACCAAUGCAUAAAGUGCUAGCAAUUCUUUCAAAUAAAUGCGGUCCAAUUUUUACUCUGAAAUUAGGCAGCAGGAACAUUGUUGCUGUUUGUUCUUUAUCAGCUGCUGAAGAAUGUUUCAUCAAGAAUGAUAUAGUUUUUGCCAACAGGCCUCAGAGCAUAUUUGUCCAUUACUGGAGCUACAGCUACGCUGCCUUUUUAUUUGCUCCGUAUGGCCAUCUCUGGCGGACCCUGAGGCGUUUCUCGGUCACUGAACUGUUUUCUCGAAGCUGCCUCGAUCGGUCUACUGCCAUUACCGAAGAAGUCCGCACCCUUCUCCGCCUGAUUCUGUCCAAAGUCUCUGAUGAUGGAGCCAAGAAGGUAGA